UGACAAAAUUCCAAUAACAUUGAAUAAAACCUGAGAAAUAUCCUAGAAGAGAGUGCUACAGUGGACAAUGGCACCAACUUUGAAGUUAUUAUUGUACAAAAUAUCCAAUUCUGACUGGCUAAGGAAAGUAAUACGUGGCAAGCGGUUGAUUUAAGUGUUGACUUCUGACAGUUGUAAACGUGUAUUCGGUUGUUGUGUCAUUCAAAUGACAUGAAUAAAUUAUUUAUUUCGCAUGUGACUCGCGCAUGCAAGUAAAUACAUCUAUAUCAUAUAUGUCUAUUAAUUGUCAAAUAACUUAUUAACAAAUAAGAAAAUCCUUGCACUGUACAAAAGUCAAUAUACAAGACAGUGUAGUCAAACUUAAAUAAUAUUUGUAUUAAAAAUAUAUAAAUUAUCAUAAAAAUGUCAUCUAUAUUUACAUUAAAUAUUUAUUACAAAUACUUCACUUCUCCCAUGUCAUCUAAGGUGAACUUUCUAGGCCAAGCAGAUGCACCCAGCCCACUUUGUAUUCUGGAAUCAGAAAGUGUUUCCAUGGGAACAAAUCUACUGUAGUUGGAGCUGUUUAAGCUAUAAUUAAGGAAAGUACUUUUGUAAACGCCUUUUAAAAUAUUGGUUAACGGCAUAGUAUUAGCGUUUGAAGGUAGGUGUUCGUUUGUAGUCGAAGGCUGCAACGUCUUGCUGGCAACACGUAUUGCCAUGGCAACAGAUUAGCAACAGAGAGCAACAAUUAUAGCAGCAACCGGUAAAAUAGCAGCAGAGGAGUUCGCCAUGACAAUUCUGCCAAGGUAUCCCUCCGGCACCUGUCACACUGACGAGUCAGUGGAAAAAUACAAUCUAUAGUGAUACAUAUUAUUGUAUUGUACUUGUUGAACUAACAAAGUUUAACGAAAACAAAAAUUGGGUGGGGAAAGGGCGAAGGGGUAACAAGCCCAACUUGCUGCAAAAAGGUAAAAACAUGCAGGUAAAUGAUCCGAACAGGGCGCCACGAACGGUUACAAGGCGUCACGAACCACUCAACGGCUGUGACGUCAUGGGCUUCCCCCAAACGGAAGUCAACAGGUAUGCAUAAUACAUCUGCCGACUGCCGUUAACCUAUACUUAAAUCUAUUUAACCUCAUGCAAUACUGAAUAACUAUCUAGAAAUAUCAGGACUAUUUCGGACAUAUUUUACCAUUGUUUUUUCUGUAUCGAAAUUUGGUCAUUUCAGUUCUUAUAAUAAUAAACAGAACAUUACACGGUGGCUUGAAGAUAUGACUUUUAUCUUCUCG
Non-coding RNA from Paramuricea clavata, 1268 nucleotides. Lineage: Eukaryota; Metazoa; Cnidaria; Anthozoa; Malacalcyonacea; Plexauridae. The record is from the annotation of a GenBank genome assembly.